UUAUUACUCCCUCCGUUCUGAAAUACUUGUUGGAGAAAUGGAUACAAUUGGAUGUAUCUAUAACUAAAAUACGUCUAGAUUCAUCCAUUUCUCCGACAAGUAUUUUGAGACGGAGGGAGUACAAU
This is a non-coding RNA of Triticum urartu, 125 nucleotides long. The record is from Rfam. NCBI's taxonomy places the organism in Eukaryota, Viridiplantae, Streptophyta, Magnoliopsida, Poales, Poaceae.